AAUCAGUGAUCAAAUAUUUGCUUUUUCAUCUUAUUUUUCAUGCAAAAAUUAUUGAGAAUAAAAUAUAAAAAAAUAUUAAAUAGUGAUGUGAAAAUUGUAUUUGUACAAGCCCAAUUUUGGGCCCAAAACCCCUAAACCCACUAAGCCACAACCCAAACCAACUUAAACCUACCCAAAACCCAAAUAACCUAGCCUAAUACAUUAAAGAAAAAUAAAGGAAAACCUAAAACCCUAGCCGUCAGCACAUGCUCCCCACCCAUCCACCACCGACGCCUGUAAGUGGCCUCUGCUCCACCACCAUUUGCCUGCAACAAUAAAAGAAGAAGAGACAGAUUAGUCAAAAAGAGCAAGUUGUAGAAAAAACGCCUAUAAAAGGCUGAAUCCAUUACCAUUUGUAAGAUCGGCACUUGUGAAAUAAAAACAAUAUUAGAUUUCAAACAUACAAGCAAAAAAUAGAGACCCUAGUAACAUCAAAAAGCAAGAAAUAACCCAAUAUCAGAAAUCGGAGAACCGAAAAUACCAAGAUCUAAGGUGAUUUUUACUUUACUUUCGUUUUGUUUUCGGAGCCAUUUUUUUCUUCUCACUUACAUAUAUAUAUUAAAAACAUAAAAAAAAUAAAAAAGGGAGAAAAAUAAACCUUUUGGGAUUCCGGCCACCGCACGACGGCGGACGGAGGUGGUCCGGCAACUGAGGCUCCACCGGAGAGGAGAAGCUUGAGAGGAUUUGGGGGAGAGUUUUUAGCUUUUUCUGGAAAAGAA
Molecule: long non-coding RNA, 758 nt
Filed under: Gossypium barbadense (sea-island cotton)
Lineage: Eukaryota; Viridiplantae; Streptophyta; Magnoliopsida; Malvales; Malvaceae
Description: long non-coding RNA (GBAR_LNC004924)
Source: RNAcentral